Molecule: long non-coding RNA, 4472 nt
Filed under: Homo sapiens (human)
Lineage: Eukaryota; Metazoa; Chordata; Mammalia; Primates; Hominidae
Description: non-protein coding lnc-ACOXL-3:4
Source: RNAcentral
GAACCGAAACCUGGCCGUUGGCUGAGCGAGCGCGGGGUGUUUGGGAUGCGGCACGGCGAGGGGGAGCAGGCUUGGCUCGGGCGUAGGGAAUUGGUUUUUUUGUUUUAGCUAUCCAGGUUGUGACUGGUUUACAUAAUUACACGAUUAAGCCAUCAUUGUAGGAAAGGCUUUGCAGGAGAAAAAUGUCUUAACUGGAGGUCUUUGAGACAGAAAAACCCUGCCUCAGCCCUUGGGUCCUGAGAGUCGCGUUUCUUCUCCCCUUCGCUUAAAUAUGUAAACCAGAAUCAUUAUGUUUGGUUCAUGGAACGGAGGAAAAAAAUCCGUGUGCAGGGUCGAGACUGUCGUGGCGGAAGCCGCAGCACCCGGGAGGCAGGUGGGGAGAAAAAACGGGACCUGCUGCCGGGGACCCCUCCCGCUUUCUGGCAGUUUUCUAUUCAGCGUCCUCGGCUGUGAGAAAACAUCCCAGAUGCUGAAACCAAUAGUCUUAGCCCAGAAUCUCAAACGCCGUGGCAAAGAGGGAGUGACGACGGCCUGUGGAAAAACCUGAGGAGUUUUGGGCUUAGCGCCUUCAUGUAGAGGGGACGUGGAGGCGGGGAGGGCGUUCUAGGGUCGGCUGCGUAAUUAUACGAGGCACUGGAAAGUGAUGGGUUAGUGUCCUUGGAGUAGACCCCUGGGUUUUAUUGAACUGAUCUGAAAGGCUGGGCCCUGAGCCACACAGGGGACCUGUCAAACAGCUUCAAGCGGAAGAUGGGGCUCACGGGACUGGACUCUCUCUGCAGCCAGCUGAAAAGGAAACCUGGACACAGGCACGUAUGAGGGAAGACAAUGUGGAGAGGCAAGGAGAAGAUGGCCACCUGCAAGCCAAGGAGAGAGGCCUGGAACACACUCUUACUUCAUGGCCCUCAGAAGGAGGCCACCCUGUCAACACCUUGAGCUCAGACUUCAGCCUCCAGAGCUGUGAAAAAAGAAAUUUUUGUUGUUUAAGCCCCUCAGUUUGGGGUAAUUUCUUAUGGUGGCCCUAGCCAAUGAAUACAGGUCCCAAAUAACUCUUCAGUUUGGCCAUAUUUCCCUUACCUCUAGGGACUAAUUUCUAAGUGCCAGUUGUUUUCUUGACACCAACCAUUCAAGGUGGGUGAAGAGGGUCUGACAGGGCAGGACACCUAAUGGGAGUUACCCAGCUGUUGAGGGGGACGCAGGUCUGCUGGUCAAAUCAUCUGUCCUCUAUGAACUCAAUUUCUUCCAUGGGAGAAAGAGAAAUGCAACUCCUCACAGUCAAGAGUUGGCCUGUCACUAGGCUGCGGUCGUGUCUUGUUGAACAUAAACAACUUCACAGAAUGUUCUCAUGAAACAAGGCCACUCACAAAUUUAUACCUGCUUCCUGACAGCACCCAAUCCACAACAAAUGCCUGCUUCUCGGAACCCCCACACCCUGGCCCAUAUAAUGACCUAACACAAACCCGAAUCCUACAACCAGUCCUUCUAGUGCUUUCUCAGGGAGACGUGCUUCCCAUAGCAUGCUGGCUCCCUUGAGGCAGUGAGCCAAUGAACCCUAACUCUGUUCGUAGUUGUCUUUGAGACAUUAACAAGAGUUUUGACUUUAUUUUACAUAUACAUCAGUCAAUGGGGUACCCUCGCCCCCCACACUUCAGCCAGGACAAUUUAUACGGUUUAAUACACCUCUUACAACAUUGACUCUUAUUUUCAUUAUCAUUACAUGAACAGUUACUAACUUAUUAACCUUGAAUUUUUUAUCUCUUCAUUUAAUUUGGAAUUUCUUAAUAUAGAAUGUGGUAGGGGAGAGGAGGGCUCCCUUUCAAAACAGCAACAGUGGCCGGGUACAGUAGCUCACGCCUAUAAUUCCAUCACUUUGGGAGGCUGAGGGGAGACGAUCACUCGAGCUCAGGAUCUCACUGUCGAGGUUAUAGUGAGCUAUGAACACACCACUGCACUCCAGCCUGGGUGUCAGAGUGAGACCUUGUCUCUAAAAAAAAAAAAAGAAAAAAAAAUAGCUAUAAGUUAUGAUAAGAGUUGUUUAAGGGUAAAGUUUAACUGUAUAGUGAGUUUAUUUAGCUGCUUAUGCGAGUGGAAUGAAUGCGAUCCUCCCACCUACGAAUAGGUCAAGAAUGUGCUUAACGCCUUAUUCCCAAGGUAAUGCUGGUAUGGGUUGGUUUAAACGGCAUUCUGGAUGCCCUUUAGGGUUUUCUGUGAAAUCCUAAUGAACGAGCCAUUUUUGUGUAACCCAUUUUUAUCAGGCCCCAUCAACCCAAGUGCUGCAAAACUAGGCUCAUGGUCCCAUCUGGGAAAAAAUUAUACUCCCAAAUGUUGCCGCUGGGAUUGACAAUUGCUACAGCUGUUUUGGAAAGUAAUGUCCGUAUCUAUCUACAAAACCAAACAAAAACAAACUCAGCCAGCCCUCUCCCAGGGACAGAAUCCAAGCAAUGAAGCUCAAUGGCAGGCGAGGGGUGUGCAAAGGGUGUUCUGCCACCCCCGGGCAGUGACUCCAUGUGGGAAACAAAGCGUGCGCUCAAACAAGCAGGCAGCAGUGAAGUUCUGAAACACUCUUACCCCAAAAUAUUUUACACAUUAAAAAAUUGAGUCUGGUUUACAGCAAUGACUUGGAAGCACUUCUCCUCUGUUCAAUUACAUGUGAAAAGCAAGAGGCGGAAGUGAAAAAAUAAUCCCAACACUGUAAAAACAAAGGUCAAAAAUUCACAUUUCCAUGUGAUUAGGAGGAAGAUAAGAAAGAUUAUUAUUAUUAUUUUAACACUGGUUGGUUUGCUUGGGAGAAGGCAGAGGUGGGUAAAGGAGGAAGUAUGAAAAACAGGGCGGAGUAAACAUUUUAAUAGUUAUUAAACUUUUUGAGCAAAUGCAGAAUUAGAAGCAAGAGGAAGAGGAAAAGUGGGAGUGGGGUGGAGAAGAACUCAGCAAUAAAGGUCUCCAAGCAAAAGAGAAAACCUCCAGGUAGCACCUUGGCAGCAGGGAACACAGAAAAUAAUCCUACCUAAACUAUUCCUUCAGACUCACUACUAAGAGCACCACUUCCUUAGGAAAAAUCAGAGAUAUGCUAUCAGAACCCACUCCCUGUGCAUCCUUUGUGUUUAACUGUAUACAAAUUUGUAGGGCAGCCUACAUAACCAAGAAAGAUCAGUCAGGAGAGAGUAUUUCCCUAGUUCUAUCCCGAUGACAAGUUUAGAAACCUUACUUCCUUCAAUGUUUCCCCUUCCCAACAGUACCCGGGAAUCCCUAAGCCAGGAGAAUGGCCGCAUAGUGGAAGGAACUCUUCAGACCCUGCUACAUCCCAUUCUCUGCCUUCCAACACCCCCCCCGAUAAGUCUGGGCCCAUUGAUCCCCCUGACAGAGCAGGAACACUGUCAUCUUGGACAAACACCACCGCUUUAAGUUCUAGCUCCCUUUCUAGCCUCAUGCAUCUCAAGGGAAUCACUUCUCUUCUAACUACAAGCAGCCAGAAAGAGCAGACGGUAAAACACAGAUAAAACAGCUCGGGCACAGAGGGAGGUGGGGGGAAAUUCUCUUGGGUAACUGCCAAACUUCACUGUCAUACAAUGGGCCCCAGUAAAACAGUAGGCCUUAAUAAGCACAUUCCUUUCCCUUCAAGUCCACUAAGAUAGGGAAGCUAAAAGCAGACUCGGGGGUCUGCCUGCAGUUGCAGAAAGGUCUAUGAAAACACACAACUCUCCCUCCCAAACAAGCACAACAAAGAGACACAAAAACAGUCCAAGCCUCUAGUAAACUCUCCCACCCUGAAUCCUUAAAAACUCUUAGCCUGUAAGAAAGUGGGGCUCUAACCUAACUUGGCCAAAACCCCCUCCUAGGUUUGUUUUCUAAAAUAAACCUGUCCUUGUUAACCAUCAAGCCACCCUUCGUGUUUCUUUCCUCUUUCUUUAAUUAUCACACCUCCCACAUCUGUGUGUUUAGUCACCACAGGAAACACUUGGUGCAGAGAGAAAUGGAAGAGAAGAUCCAAGUCAAGGAAGCAGCCAAGGGGCCAGGGCUUCAUGGAGGAAAGAGCAAAUCUUGAAUUGUUCAGGAUAGGGGAUGGAACCAGGAAGCAGCAAUGGGGUGGGAACUAAACUGACAUAGGAGCAUUUGGGGAGCAAGUCAAGAAGGCUCUGUUGAGUGAUGUCAUUGACAGAGUCGGGCUGGCAGCUCAGUGGUGUGCUGGCCAGAGAGGGGGUAUGUUAAGCCAGCUAAAAGGAGCAAGGCUGACCCGGACAAACUCAUAUUUUAAACCCGACCUGAGUGGUCCUGGCAUGCGAUUUCCAAAGUGUCUCUGCUCUUGGAGUGAACCACCCUCAUUCUUUAUCUGAACUGGACCCCACUUGCAGAGUCAAGUCACUCUUCUCCCAGUGGUGCCAGAUUCAGAACUGGACUCCUGCUUUGGUCUCCACUUGCUGUUUCUAUAUUGCAUCCUUUCUCAUUCCCAGGUCUUUCUCCAAAGCAUGGAACCCUUU